AAGCGCGGAGGAAAAUAAACCAACAGGGAUUGCCUCAGUAACGGCGAGUGAAGCGGCAAAAGCUCAAAUUUGAAACCUAGCACCUUCGGUGUUCGAGUUGUAAUUUGAAGAUGGUAACCUUGGGUUUGGCUCUUGUCUAUGUUCCUUGGAACAGGACGUCAUAGAGGGUGAGAAUCCCGUCUGAUGAGAUGCCCAUUCCUAUGUAAGGUGCUAUCGAAGAGUCGAGUUGUU
RNAcentral lists this ribosomal RNA (231 nucleotides) under uncultured Wickerhamomyces. RNAcentral describes it as "partial 26S ribosomal RNA". It matches the Rfam family "Eukaryotic large subunit ribosomal RNA", at positions 46 to 274 of the family's 3401-position model. The record is from RNAcentral. Lineage: Eukaryota; Fungi; Ascomycota; Saccharomycetes; Phaffomycetales; Phaffomycetaceae.